AAAGCGCAUAUGCUGUGAGCUCGAUGAGUAGGGCGGGACACGUGGUAUCCUGUCUGAAUAUGGGGGGACCAUCCUCCAAGGCUAAAUACUCCUGACUGACCGAUAGUGAACCAGUACCGUGAGGGAAAGGCGAAAAGAACCCCGGCGAGGGGAGUGAAACAGAACCUGAAACCGUGUACGUACAAGCAGUGGGAGCCCCACCACUAAGCCAGUGGUGAACUCCACAUACGCAUCCUUUGCGGAAGGUGCGGUUAACGGAGCGUAAGCGACGUUCAACCUCAAAAGAAGCAGAGGGGGCUUAGUGGUGG
Molecule: ribosomal RNA, 308 nt
Filed under: Salmonella enterica subsp. salamae
Lineage: Bacteria; Pseudomonadati; Pseudomonadota; Gammaproteobacteria; Enterobacterales; Enterobacteriaceae
Description: partial 23S ribosomal RNA
Rfam family: Bacterial large subunit ribosomal RNA
Source: RNAcentral